Molecule: unclassified non-coding RNA, 6743 nt
Filed under: Bactrocera latifrons
Lineage: Eukaryota; Metazoa; Arthropoda; Insecta; Diptera; Tephritidae
Description: wD repeat-containing protein 81, transcript variant X2
Source: RNAcentral
GAUAAGACUUUGGCGAUCAAAAGUAAUUCAACCAAAUCGCAAAAUUUCCUCUCACUGCAGAAUGUAGCAAAAUCUUCUUUGUUUUCAAGUAAUAAUCUUUAAAAAAGAAAUAAACCAAGCAAAUGAUCUCGAAUGAAUAAAAUAUGUGAAAAUGUUUGUUAAAUGGUGUUAGUAGUUUGGCAUAAUUAUAUUUAACCCAUGUUUACUUUGAAGCUGUGCUUCACAAUUGUAAUUACGAAAGUGCUGCUAAAAAAUUAGCCAACUACGUUGAAAUGUUUAUGUUUUGAAGAGUAUACUUAUGCAGGUAUUAAAAAACGAAAAUGGAUGUGAUUUGCAAUGAAAUUGGUGUAAACAUUCAACAUUUGUGUGAAACCCCUGUAUCUGGUCGUUAUCAAUUGAUUUGCGAUAAGCAAUGGUUACAAACGUUAGAACAGCGUCACAAAAUUGCUCCAUUUAAUGUAUGGCAUAAACUCGAUAGAAGAGCACAUCCAAGUGAUCCUUUAGAUCAUCCGUGGACGAGAAUUUUAUUGCAAACUUACUUGAAGAAACCAAAUGUAAAAGUAUUCCCUCUGCAAUGGCAAUAUGGCGAUGGAGGCAUAGAAACAGCUGUAGAGGCUGAAGGCAGCAAUCCGCUCACAUAUUCUCAAGCAUUGUGCUAUGUAACCAAUACAAAUUUCAAAAAUCUAUGGGAGGCUGCAUACAAACGUUAUCCGGGAGCUAACGUUAAGUAUGCCAAAUCAUCGACACCAACCGGUAGAACAUUGAGCCCUCCUUCAACAUGCGCACUUGUUUCCUACGAUGUCGUGUUAAAGGAAUUGAUACAACGUGUAUACCAUUGUCCUGUCAUACAUUGCCAGCUUGACAGAUUAAGUGAAGAUCAAAAGUGCGAAAAUAGUUAUGGAGUUGGAGAGGACUCAAUUGAUCGUCAUGCGAAUAUAAUGCCAGCUCUCAUCACCAUAGAGACAUCCACUCACUUUUGCGUAUUAUUUUAUCCACCCGCCAUCGUUACAAGUCUCUACGAUUGCAUAACUUAUUCGCCCUCGAUAUUGGGUAAAUCUUACAACAAAUCGCUCUUUAUUAUCUAUCAAAUUAUACAGCUUUCGAAGGCGUUACAAACGGCUGGCCUAUUUUUGGGUGAUAUACGUCUACAUGAUAUAAUGGUGCGCGAAAAUCUCUGGAUACAAGUACUACCACGACUAGAGUCUUGCAUAUUGCGACCAAAUCUUGCUGAACGUGGGGCCACAUCACCUAGUGAAACGGCACACGGUGCUGAUGGCGACAAUUCCGUGCUUUUAGAAGAAAAUGAAAAUGGCAGUUAUGUUUAUGGUGGAAAUGAUGAAGAUGGCGAGGAUGACACUGCCGAUUGCUCUAGUAAUACAAAAUUCGAUUUACAGUUUGCAUACGAUUUGGAUCAGUUUACGUUGCGUGAAUACUGUGAGAUGUGGUGCAAUGGUCAACUUUCAAAUUUUGAUUAUCUAACGAUAUUGAAUAACGCUGCCGGCCGUGGACUUAAUAAUCCGGCCUACCAUCAUAUAAUGCCAUGGGUAACUGAUUUUACAGCACGCAAUGGUCUGAAUUGGCGUGAUUUAACCAAAAGCAAAUAUCGACUGAACAAAGGUGAUGUCCAUUUAGAUUUAAUGUUUUCUCAUGCCACCCAUCAAGGUGCAAAUGGUGUUGGAAGCACUGUGACAGUAGGCGCAAGCGGUCAAGCACCACAUCAUGUGUCGGAUUUUCUUUCGGAAAUCACAUAUUUUGUUUAUAUGGCACGUCGCACACCGCAAGAAGUGCUUUGCCAGCACGUGCGUCCCAUUUGGGUGCCUGCUGAAUAUCCCGUAUCCAUACAGCGCUUGCAACAGUGGACCCCGGAUGAAUGUAUACCUGAAUUCUACUCCGAUCCAAUGAUUUUUAAGAGCAUUCACGAAGACUUGCCAGAUUUAGAUUUGCCCGCAUGGGCCUCAUGCCCUGAAGAUUUCAUAGCAAAACAUCGGGAAGCUUUAGAAUCACAGUACGUUAGUGAGAGGCUACAACACUGGAUAGAUCUCAAUUUUGGUUACAAAUUAUCCGGAAAGGCUGCUGUCAAAUCAAAGAAUGUAUGUCUGAGUCUGGUGGAUCAACAUAAAGAGCUCUGCCAACGUGGUAUUAUACAACUGUUUACCACACCACAUCCCGCCAAACGUUUUCCGUCACCCUGGUUCAAUAAAACACCGCCACGACUCAAUCAAUUGCUUGCUUCGCCGCGAUCUCCACGUUCCGGCAGCUCCACGCUACGACCUAACGAGUCAAGACGUCUUGCCAAAAGCACAGAGAACCUUAAUGUUAGCGAAACAGCCAGUUUUCCAACGGAGCUCACUGCAGCAACAACUUCGCUCCGUCGUUCAGGUGCCUCCUCAUCUUCGCCGCGUAUGUCCUUGCGUGCUAAUAACACUGCUAGCGAUAUGUCCAAUUCGAAUUUCUAUCCCAGCACUAAUUUUAUUGACUUGCCAAAAGAUUAUAAUCCAUGUGCGCUACUCCAAUCUCUUGAAACAAUGGAAACGUUCUUCGCACGCACUUUUCCAAAACAAAAGCCAGCAUCGAACACUUUGGAAAAGAUCAUUCACAGUGAUAUGUUAUUUGACGCACACUCCUCAGAGAACUCAUUUACCAAUCGUCUCUUCCUAGAUGAAAAUCCGAAUGCCAGCAUUCCAACCGUAACACAAAAUAAACAUAAACCAAAAAGUUUACUGGCGCCAAGCCCAACCUAUCUAAAAAAGCGUUCCAUGAAACAGCUGCUCAGUGAGAACCGCGAACGUGAGCUUCAAGUGUUAGGUUGCCUAAUUGUUGAGCUCUUUGCUAUGCCGCGUCUGCGCGCAAUGCUCAUGAACGGCGUGAACACCGCCACAGAGGAACGUCUGCAAGCGUGUCGCACUGUGGCUAGCUUACACCGUCAAGAUAUACCAAAGUGUCUACGUUACACAGUCGCACUGUUGCUGCAACCGCAAGUCGCCGUUGUGCUCACCGACAAGGGUCUACCAGCGCCAACAUCCACCCAGCUACUCGAACCAAUAUUCGCCAAUCAAUUGAUACCGUUUCCCUGUAAUUUCUAUACUACCUAUGCGCUUAUACGUUCUUUGCAUCAAUUCGAUUUGAAUUCCUCGCUGCUUGAAUUGUGCACACACUUCAAUUGUAAUGGUCGUGAGUGUGCCAAAUACACCGACAUGGAUCGUCAGCGUGUGCUUUUCGAACGUAAAAUAGCCGAGUGCAAAGUGAUGUCAUGUUGCGCGUACAUCAGUCAUUUGUUGGAGCCCAUUGGCUAUGAGCAAUUCUCUCCAGUGGAAUUACUACUGCCGCACAUCAUUGAUUUGCUUUUAGAUGAGCAGACAUCGAUAUUAACUGCAUGGAAUUUAUUCGAUCCAGUGGCACAAGCGCUCGGCAUUGCCAAUACACAAAAGUACCUGUUAUUGCCCAUAAUGAAAUUGUACGAUGUGGAGAGUUUUGAACGUGGCAUGAUUUCGGUGCGAACGCGCAGUGCGGACGCAAGCAGUUCAACCGGUGGUCAAGUGCGCUUUUCCAUGAGCAGUUCGUUUAAAUCGCGCAAAUCGGUUAAGCUUUACCAUCACAGCUUUUUGUUGCAUUUGAUUGUACGCUUUGGUUUGAAAUGUUUUCUACACAAUUUUAUUGCGCCACUAAUUGAGGCUGUUGGCGGUUACAAAGAACCGGAAGAUGGUAAUGGUUUCCAUUAUCAUAGCUCGACGAACAAUGGAGGUGGUGGUAGUCGUCGUACGAGUCGGAAUUUAAAUUAUGCCUCUACAGAAGAUGACAUUUCUUUGACGUUAAUGUCAACGGAGGGCGCGGAUAAAAGUGUGGAUGAUACGACUUUGCAUGUUAAAGUACCGGCUACAAACGCCUCGAAACAGGAAGUCGAAGACGUUUUCAGUUUUGAUGAUGAUGCCAACUUGGAUCACAUCUCAAAUUCGGGUACCAGUGAGAAUAAGUCGAUCGACUCUUUUGACAUGCGGCCGACACCUGCCGAAGAAGCUAAAGAAGAUUACAACCAAAGCGAAACAGCAUCAGAGAAAUUGGCGAUUUCAGAGAUUAUUUACGGUUCAAAAAUGUCAAGCGCAUCAUUGGAGGACGCCCAUAAGGUCUCCUUGAACAGUCAAUGCGCAAGUGACUCACCCACCACACAGCUUGGCGCCAAAUCGCCUACAAUUGAAAUACCUGCCAGCGCCAUAAGGCGUAGUUAUCAACUAAACACCAUCGACUGUGACAUCGGCUCACGUAAAAGUAUCGAUUCGUUUGAAAUAAUCACACAAGCCGUGGAAGAAGAGCAAAAACAACUGAAAUCGCAACAAAAUGCCGCCGACAGAACACAGCUGCACGCCGAAAACAAGGAGAUGAAGACGGAGGAGGAAAGUGAAAUGCAAGCGCAAGUUGCUUUGGACUCACUGCAAGCUUCGGUAAUUUCGAAAAUGUCUGAAGCUAAAGCGGCACAAAAUAAUCGCAUCUCCGAAAUGAGCGCUGGUAGCUUGAUGUGGCUAGCAUACCGUUUGGGACCCUCGCUAACUUCGCGUUACAUAACACGUAAUCUACUGAAAAUGUUGUCGUUGUGUUAUGUUGGUCAAGAGAAUUUGCUACCCGAAACGCACGAGCAAGCUGAGUUGCAAAAUUUGAAUUACUUUUCCAUGUCGGACGCGCAUGUUGUGGGUGAUCGCAGCGCAGCGCGUGUCUUGGAGUGUCUGAUGUCUAUAGCGGCACUGUUCGGCGAGGAAGUAAUACUCGUACAAUACUUUCCACAUAUAAGCGAACUAAUCGCUUUGGGCUCGAAGCGCAUAACACCCAGUCUCGAAGGCGCUAUUAUAAGCACACUACAAUUACUUAAAUAUCUGGUGCCUUGUCUGAUGGAUGCCACAAUAAUGGAACACUUAAAAGAAACAAUACUCAAAAAUAUGCUCUUGCCAAUUGUACGUAUACUGGGCUCUACGCGGCUGCUCAUGCCCAGCGGUUAUUUGGGCCGUUCAGUAUUGGCACGUAAAUGGUUGGAUGCAGUUUAUACGCUCUGUGUGCGAAUCGGUCCCGAUAUGUCGAAAGAGCAUUUAUGCAUACCAACUCUGAGACCGUACUUCCUCAUUUUCGACAAGGCUUUUGGUAUACGUGAGCAAUUUGAAAAUCAAAAUGUGAGCCAACUAUCGAUAUCUCCACCAAUAAAUUGCUUUGGAAAUGAUGAUGGCGCAAAUUCCAGACGUGAGCGUGAGGAGAUACGUGAUGUGUUUAGUCCGGCGCUUGCACACAUUUCUUAUUUGUCCUUCUUGCGUUUCUUGGGCGAGGCCAUUAUGCAACGUACCAUUUGUAAUUUGGAGUUUAUCUUGACACUUUGCCAUGAAUUCGAGCAACCCGACUAUAAAUCGCACAUUACAAAAGGCAAAUCGAACAAUGAUACCGUUGACAGCCCAUCGAAGAGUAGUGAUAAUUUAACAGAACCAGAGCUGCUGGUGGCCAAUAGUUUUGGUACAAACGUGAUUGGUAAUCGUCUCGAGGUGGUCAGUAGCGGCACGGCAAAUCAAUCGCAACAAGAAGUCGGUCCCAUGGAGGUUUUAGACAUGGUCGCCUACAAAUUCGAACACAUACCAACAGUGCGACAUUUGAAGGGCAAUUGGUUGGCUUACUGGCGACAUGAAAUUAGUCGUUCGGACAAGGAUACCAUGUUAAAUUUAAAACAAAUCAAAAUGCAAUCUUUCGGAGGACACACAAAUUCAGUGCGUUCAAUUUUGGCUUUGGACAACGAGAACAGUUUCAUUUCGGCGUCGAAGAUCGACUGAAAAAAUAUUUCACAACAAUAAAUGCGAUGACGACGUUGAAGAGAGAAAAAUCGCAUGAUGGAAUUUUGGGAAUCUGAAAACUUCAAAGAAUUGUUGCAUGAUAUGCCAUUUAUACCAGGGCAACAUGGUCAGCAGCAGCGAGAGUCCCAUUGCAUGUAGCAGUGAUAGUAGUGCUUGUCAAACUCGUGUACUCGCGUAUAUUGUGUGGAAUUUCAAGUCUCUAUGUACGUACCGGCUAAUAAAUGAAUGAAUGUCAUGGCACGCAAAGGAAUGCGAAUGCAGACACACACAUGCAUUAAAGAUUUUAUUCCGGAGAAAAAACCUGUCCGACCACCCUAGCGUGUGCUCUGCUGCACACACACGCUCGCACAUACAUGCAGGCUGCGCUGCUCGCAAAUUUGCGGCAGCGAAAAAGCAGCGAGUUGCCUACUUGCUGGUUAUGGGCGCCUAGUACCAAACGAUUAAAUUCAGUUUAACCAUCCACCGAGCAAUUUGUGCUGCGCCGACGUCGACUGCGUAUAUUGACUGCGACCAUGUUAACGCGCAAAUUGCAUAUUUUAAAGACUGUCAGUGCUUUCUAUUGGAUUCGAUGUGCGGAUACUGUUUGGUGUUGAACUGUGCGUCGCGCUAUUAUUCCUGUCAGCUUGGUAAGAAUGUUUGUUGUCGUGUCUGCGAGGCGACAGUGAAAAAAGCAGCAGGCAGUUCUAGCUAGACAUUAUGUAGACAAACAAGCGCACAUUCGUCAAACGUUUUGGUCGUCGUUGGCACAAGCAAUCCCCGUGGAUAAGUUGGCGUUGCGAUAUGUAUACGUGAAGAAUCCAGCAAACAGGAAUUGGCAAUGGAAAUCCAACCGUUGUGCGAUGUGAAGGAUUAGCGCCCAAAUUUUUACAUAUUUACAUAUAAAUAUUAUUGUUUAAUGCUACUAUUUUUAGAAAUUUUUCAAAUAUU